RNAcentral lists this ribosomal RNA (348 nucleotides) under Methanobacteriota archaeon. RNAcentral describes it as "bacterial SSU rRNA". It matches the Rfam family "Archaeal small subunit ribosomal RNA", at positions 1 to 353 of the family's 1478-position model. Lineage: Archaea; Methanobacteriati; Methanobacteriota. The record is from RNAcentral.
AAAUCUGGUUGAUCCUGCCAGAGGCGACCGCUAUUGGAGUUCGAUUAAGCCAUGCGAGUCGAGAGCUUUAGGAGCUCGGCAUACUGCUCAGUAACACGUGGAUAACCUGCCCUGUGCUCUGGGAUAACCUCGGGAAACUGAGAAUAAUACCGGAUAGUCCACCACGCCUGGAACGGUGGGUGGAUCAAAGGUCACGGCACAGGAUGGGUCUGCGGCGUAUCAGGUUGUAGGGGGUGUAAAGGACCCCCUAGCCAUUGACGCGUACGGGUUGUGGGAGCAAUCGCCCGGAGAUGGAUUCUGAGACACGAAUCCAGACCCUACGGGGUGCAGCAGGCGCGAAAACUUCAC